Molecule: ribosomal RNA, 474 nt
Filed under: uncultured bacterium
Lineage: Bacteria
Description: bacterial SSU rRNA
Rfam family: Bacterial small subunit ribosomal RNA
Source: RNAcentral
UUUUGGGUGUGGUGACGGUACCUUUGUUAAGAAGCACCGGCUAACUACGUGCCAGCAGCCGCGGUAAUACGUAGGGUGCGAGCGUUGUCCGGAAUUACUGGGCGUAAAGAGCUCGUAGGUGGUUUGUUGCGUCGUCUGUGAAAUUCCGGGGCUUAACUUCGGGGUGGCAGGCGAUACGGGCAUAACUAGAGUGCUGUAGGGGAAACUGGAAUUCCUGGUGUAGCGGUGGAAUGCGCAGAUAUCAGGAGGAACACCGAUGGCGAAGGCAGGUCUCUGGGCAGUAACUGACGCUGAGGAGCGAAAGCAUGGGGAGCGAACAGGAUUAGAUACCCUGGUAGUCCAUGCUGUAAACGGUGGGCGUUAGGUGUGGGGACCGGUUUGGUUUCUGUGCCGUAGCUAACGCAUUAAGCGCCCCGCCUGGGGAGUACGGCCGCAAGGCUAAAACUCAAAGGAAUUGACGGGGGCCCGCACAAG